CUUACCCCCUAAUUUCUGUCCUUCUGACCAGCCCACCUAACAGCCGUUUCACCCCUCGCGGCCGGCUUACCGAAUUGCGUCAUACUGUUACCAGAGACGCGAAAUUCGAGACCUCACCACCUCGUUAUAUGCUGUUCUUGCAUUGAUCUCGUCGGAUAACGCGAGAGUGGCAAAAACCGUAAGUCAAAGAGCAUCCGUGACCGAUUUUGAAAAGUUUCACACCGAUCUCCGCAUAUACUCGCAACCAGACACCUACGUGUAAGUACGCGUCUAUGGAGUCGAGCCACGAGCGAAGCAGCAACAGGUUUAAUCGCGUCGGGGUGUGGCUGACUGGCUGGCCGGCUCCGCUCAUUCGGCUGCCCUCCGUUUGAUGCUGGUUUAUAAGAUCGAUGCGACACACACUGGGUAUCGUUGCGCGGCGCGAAUGAAAGCGGAAUGCUCGUUUUGCCGCGUCGAUG
This 458-nucleotide unclassified non-coding RNA is filed under the name Bombus terrestris (buff-tailed bumblebee). RNAcentral's name for it is "misc RNA ENSBTSG00005023348.1". The record is from RNAcentral. Lineage: Eukaryota; Metazoa; Arthropoda; Insecta; Hymenoptera; Apidae.